Molecule: ribosomal RNA, 328 nt
Filed under: uncultured bacterium
Lineage: Bacteria
Description: bacterial SSU rRNA
Rfam family: Bacterial small subunit ribosomal RNA
Source: RNAcentral
AUGUAGGUAUCUGCCCUUUGGCCUGGAAUAACACGAGGAAACUUGUGCUAAUACCGGAUAAGUCUUUACGGAGAAAGCUUUAUGCACCAUUGGAUGAGCCUGCACUUGAUUAGUUUGUUGGUGGGGUAAUGGCCUACCAAGACUGUGAUCAAUAGCUGAUUUGAGAGGAUGAUCAGCCACAUUGGGACUGAGACACGGCCCAAACUCCUACGGGAGGCAGCAGUGGGGAAUCUUGCACAAUGGAGGAAACUCUGAUGCAGCGAUGCCGCGUGAGUGAAGAAGGCCCUUGGGUUGUAAAGCUCUUUCGUCGGGGAAGAAAAUGACUGUA